Molecule: ribosomal RNA, 172 nt
Filed under: Bacillus sp. G1-2003
Lineage: Bacteria; Bacillati; Bacillota; Bacilli; Caryophanales; Bacillaceae
Description: partial 16S ribosomal RNA
Rfam family: Bacterial small subunit ribosomal RNA
Source: RNAcentral
CCUACGGGAGGCAGCAGUAGGGAAUCUUCCGCAAUGGACGAAAGUCUGACGGAGCAACGCCGCGUGAGUGAUAGAAGGUUUUCGGAUCGUAAAGCUCUGUUGUUAGGGAAGAACAAGUGCCGUUCAAAUAGGGCGGCACCUUGACGGUACCUAACCAGAAAGCCACGGCUAA